UACGUAGGGGCCUAGCGUUGUCCGGAUUUAUUGGGCGUAAAGAGCUCGUAGGCGGUUUGGCUAGUCAGGUGUGAAAUCUCCACGCUCAACGUGGAGGAGCCACCUGAUACUGCCAUGACUUGAGUCCGGUAGGGGAGUGUGGAAUUCCCGGUGUAGCGGUGAAAUGCGCAGAUAUCGGGAGGAACACCCGUAGCGAAGGCGGCACUCUGGGCCGUGACCGACGCUGAGGAGCGAAAGCGUGGGGAGCAAACAGG
RNAcentral lists this ribosomal RNA (254 nucleotides) under uncultured bacterium. RNAcentral's name for it is "partial 16S ribosomal RNA". It matches the Rfam family "Bacterial small subunit ribosomal RNA", at positions 524 to 776 of the family's 1533-position model. The record is from RNAcentral.